UACGGGGGGGGCAAGCGUUGUUCGGAAUUACUGGGCGUAAAGGGCGCGUAGGCGGUUGGAUAAGUCAGCUGUGAAAACCACGGGCUUAACUCGUGGCCUGCAGUUGAGACUGUCUGGCUUGAGUGUGGGAGAGGAGAGUGGAAUUCCUGGUGUAGCGGUGAAAUGCGUAGAUAUCAGGAGGAACACCUGCGGUGUAGACGGCUUUCUGGACCAUUACUGACACUGAGACACGAAAGCGUGGGUAGCAAACAGG
RNAcentral lists this ribosomal RNA (253 nucleotides) under uncultured bacterium. RNAcentral describes it as "partial 16S ribosomal RNA". It matches the Rfam family "Bacterial small subunit ribosomal RNA", at positions 524 to 776 of the family's 1533-position model. The record is from RNAcentral.